AAUAGAUACCCGGGUAGUCCACGCCGUAAACGAUGAGUGCUAAGUGUUAGGGGGUUUCCGCCCCUUAGUGCUGCAGCUAACGCAUUAAGCACUCCGCCUGGGGAGUACGGCCGCAAGGCUGAAACUCAAAGGAAUUGACGGGGGCCCGCACAAGCGGUGGAGCAUGUGGUUUAAUUCGAAGCAACGCGAAGAACCUUACCAGGUCUUGACAUCCUCUGACAACUCUAGAGAUAGAGCGUUCCCCUUCGGGGGACAGAGUGACAGGUGGUGCAUGGUUGUCGUCAGCUCGUGUCGUGAGAUGUUGGGUUAAGUCCCGCAACGAGCGCAACCCUUGAUCUUAGUUGCCAGCAUUCAGUUGGGCACUCUAAGGUGACUGCCGGUGACAAACCGGAGGAAGGUGGGGAUGACGUCAAAUCAUCAUGCCCCUUAUGACCUGGGCUACACACGUGCUACAAUGGACGGUACAAAGAGUCGCGAGACCGCGAGGAGGAGCUAAUCUCAUAAAACCGUUCUCAGUUCGGA
This 522-nucleotide ribosomal RNA is filed under the name uncultured bacterium. Its description in RNAcentral is "bacterial SSU rRNA". It matches the Rfam family "Bacterial small subunit ribosomal RNA", at positions 777 to 1297 of the family's 1533-position model. The record is from RNAcentral.